This 358-nucleotide ribosomal RNA is filed under the name Bacillus gaemokensis. RNAcentral describes it as "bacterial SSU rRNA". It matches the Rfam family "Bacterial small subunit ribosomal RNA", at positions 77 to 426 of the family's 1533-position model. The record is from RNAcentral. Lineage: Bacteria; Bacillati; Bacillota; Bacilli; Caryophanales; Bacillaceae.
AGCUUGCUCUUAUGAAGUUAGCGGCGGACGGGUGAGUAACACGUGGGUAACCUGCCCAUAAGACUGGGAUAACUCCGGGAAACCGGGGCUAAUACCGGAUAAUAUUUUGCGCCUCAUGGCGCGAAAUUGAAAGGCGGCUUCGGCUGUCACUUAUGGAUGGACCCGCGUCGCAUUAGCUAGUUGGUGAGGUAACGGCUCACCAAGGCGACGAUGCGUAGCCGACCUGAGAGGGUGAUCGGCCACACUGGGACUGAGACACGGCCCAGACUCCUACGGGAGGCAGCAGUAGGGAAUCUUCCGCAAUGGACGAAAGUCUGACGGAGCAACGCCGCGUGAGUGAUGAAGGCUUUCGGGUCGU